This 27-nucleotide non-coding RNA is filed under the name Mus musculus (house mouse). The record is from RNAcentral. Lineage: Eukaryota; Metazoa; Chordata; Mammalia; Rodentia; Muridae.
CCAUCAUUCAGACCUGUUCCACUCUGU